This 431-nucleotide ribosomal RNA is filed under the name uncultured bacterium. Its description in RNAcentral is "partial 16S ribosomal RNA". It matches the Rfam family "Bacterial small subunit ribosomal RNA", at positions 29 to 507 of the family's 1533-position model. The record is from RNAcentral.
AACGAACGCUGGCGGCAGGCCUAACACAUGCAAGUCGAGCGCCCCGCCAGGGGAGCGGCAGACGGGUGAGUACCGCGUGGGAACGCACCUUUUGGUUCGGAACAACUCCGGGAAACUGGAGCUAAUACCGGAUAAGUACUCACGGGGAAAGAUUUAUCGCCGCGAGAUCGGACCGCGGCUGCUUAGCUAGUUGGUGAAGUAACGGCUCACCAAGGCGACGAUCAGUAGCUGGUCUGCGAGGAUGAUCAGCCACACUGGGACUGAGACACGGCUCAGACACGUACAGGAGGCAGCGGUGGGGAAUAUUGGACAAUGGGCGCAAGCCUGAUCCAGCCAUGCCGCGUGAGUUAUGAAGGCCUUAGAGUUGUAAAACUCUUUUUACCGGGAAGAUAAUGACUGUACCGGAAGAAUAAGCCCCGGCUAACUGCGUG